AGUCCAGAAUAUUGUUAUCUAAAUUAGGUCCAGGUGUGGAUGAGUCUCCUUGGGUGCACUGGUUUUUGACUACACUUUUUCUCAAUCUGAAGACCUAUGAAUUAAGCAUACAACCAACACGGGCACGUGAUAACCAGAAUAAAUGCUGCUGUUGGAAAAGGAACGAAGGAGGUUCUCAUGAGUCACCGGUCCAUAGCAAUUCUGAAGUUCAGCUGGCACAGACUGAACAUUCUGGCAGGAGAAACCUGAAAUGCACAGUGAAAUGAAUUUUUCUAGUCAAUGUGGAGGAGAGAGCAAGGCAGAAUGGGUUUGUCUCUUAAUUCAGGCCAAAGACCCUGAGGGCAAAGCAACGCCUGCCGGGAACUGAAACUACCCCUCAAGCAAUAAGGACUGCCCUGAGCCAAUAAGACUCCACCAUCAACUCCAAGACAAUGACCAACCUGACCUUUACUGACCACCUGCAUGUACCCACCCACCUUUGUCCCACAUUUUCUUUACAUAUUCCUGGAAGUAUUUUUGGUACUUUAGAGACAGUCUUUGAUGUUAGUCUGCUAUCUUCCUGGUGUUGGCCUCACUGAAUAAAUUCCCUCUUUGUUUC
Molecule: long non-coding RNA, 598 nt
Organism: Panthera uncia (snow leopard)
Lineage: Eukaryota; Metazoa; Chordata; Mammalia; Carnivora; Felidae
Exons: 3
Source: RefSeq, a predicted model, not a curated record